CUGGCCAAGCUGUAUCGUAUGCUGAUGAAGGAAGUGACGCACAUAAUCAGAGACAAUUUGAGAAUCUGCAGCCGAGCCAGACCGACAAACAUAGACGUUGUCAGUGAGCUUUGUAAUCUUGUCUGAUGCACGAUUAGCCACAUAGACACCGGUGCUGGUACGAGAAUCGGCACCGAGGACAACGCCGCCGUCGUAUGUGACGCCGAUGAUGGUGGUACCCAUGGAGUGAGGAGCAUUAAGAUCCAUGUUGAGAUCCAUGGCGGUGAGAAUCUAUUCCAGAGAAACUAGAGCGAUAUUCAAAUAAGGGAGUGAAAGGGGAGGAUUGCCGGAAAAUGUAAGAGCUGGAUUUUGGUGUUGGG
This 359-nucleotide unclassified non-coding RNA is filed under the name Hevea brasiliensis (rubber tree). Lineage: Eukaryota; Viridiplantae; Streptophyta; Magnoliopsida; Malpighiales; Euphorbiaceae. The record is from RNAcentral.